UAGGGAAUCUUCGGCAAUGGACGAAAGUCUGACCGAGCAACGCCGCGUGAGUGAAGAAGGUUUUCGGAUCGUAAAACUCUGUUGUUAGAGAAGAACAAGGACGUUAGUAACUGAACGUCCCCUGACGGUAUCUAACCAGAAAGCCACGGCUAACUACGUGCCAGCAGCCGCGGUAAUACGUAGGUGGCAAGCGUUGUCCGGAUUUAUUGGGCGUAAAGCGAGCGCAGGCGGUUUCUUAAGUCUGAUGUGAAAGCCCCCGGCUCAACCGGGGAGGGUCAUUGGAAACUGGGAGACUUGAGUGCAGAAGAGGGGAGUGGAAUUCCAUGUGUAGCGGUGAAAUGCGUAGAUAUAUGGAGGAACACCAGUGGCGAAGGCGGCUCUCUGGUCUGUAACUGACGCUGAGGAUCGAAAGCGUGGGGAGCAAACAGG
This 429-nucleotide ribosomal RNA is filed under the name Chloroflexota bacterium. RNAcentral's name for it is "Chloroflexi bacterium partial 16S ribosomal RNA". It matches the Rfam family "Bacterial small subunit ribosomal RNA", at positions 355 to 776 of the family's 1533-position model. The record is from RNAcentral. Lineage: Bacteria; Bacillati; Chloroflexota.